UACUGCUGCUCUGCACACUGACCCCUUCACCAGGAAUCGCUCUGAAAAUAAUUUAAAAAGUACUUUCAACCACUGCUGCUCUGCACGCUGACUCACUUCACCAGGAAUCUUUCCAGAAACAUGUUACCAGAUCUUCUCGAUCCAACUAUUACUGCUCUGAAGCCUUAAAAUCAUUCACGUG
Ctenocephalides felis (cat flea) is the source of this 181-nucleotide long non-coding RNA. RefSeq lists it as uncharacterized. The transcript is spliced from 3 exons. Lineage: Eukaryota; Metazoa; Arthropoda; Insecta; Siphonaptera; Pulicidae. The record is from RefSeq and is a predicted model, not a curated record.